CCUACGGGAGGCAGCAGUAAGGAAUAUUGGUCAAUGGACGGAAGUCUGAACCAGCCAUGCCGCGUGCAGGAAGACGGCCCUACGGGUUGUAAACUGCUUUUGCAGGGGAAUAAACCCCGAUACGUGUAUCGGGCUGAAUGUACUCUGAGAAUAAGGAUCGGCUAACUCCGUGCCAGCAGCCGCGGUAAUACGGAGGAUCCAAGCGUUAUCCGGAUUUAUUGGGUUUAAAGGGUGCGUAGGUGGCCUGUUAAGUCAGGGGUGAAAGACGGUAGCUUAACUAUCGCAGUGCCCUUGAUACUGAUGGGCUUGAAUAAACUAGAGGUAGGCGGAAUGUGACAAGUAGCGGUGAAAUGCAUAGAUAUGUCACAGAACACCAAUUGCGAAGGCAGCUUACUAUGGUUUUAUUGACACUGAGGCACGAAAGCGUGGGGAUCAAACAGGAUUAGAUACCCUGGUAGUCCACGCCCUAAACGAUGAAUACUCGAUGUUGGCGAUAUACGGUCAGCGUCUAAGCGAAAGCGUUAAGUAUUCCACCUGGGGAGUACGCCCGCAAGGGUGAAACUCAAAUGAAUUGACGGCUGNGNGNGCGAGACGACGACGAGGGAGGAGG
RNAcentral lists this ribosomal RNA (610 nucleotides) under uncultured bacterium. RNAcentral describes it as "bacterial SSU rRNA". It matches the Rfam family "Bacterial small subunit ribosomal RNA", at positions 338 to 948 of the family's 1533-position model. The record is from RNAcentral.